Molecule: ribosomal RNA, 391 nt
Filed under: Chrysophyceae sp.
Lineage: Eukaryota; Chrysophyceae
Description: partial small subunit ribosomal RNA
Rfam family: Eukaryotic small subunit ribosomal RNA
Source: RNAcentral
AUUCCAGCUCCAAUAGCGUAUACUAAAGUUGUUGCAGUUAAAAAGCUCGUAGUUGAAUUUCUGGUCGUGGCGAUCGGUCCGCCCCUCACGGGGUGUGCACCUGGUCUCUACGUCCAUCCUCGGGGAGAGCGCGCCUGGCAUUCAGUUGUCGGGCGUGGGAUCCUCGUCAUUUACUGUGAGCAAAAUAGAGUGUUCAAAGCAGGCUUAGGCCGUUGAAUACAUUAGCAUGGAAUAAUAAGAUAGGACCUUGGUCUAUUUUGUUGGUUUGCAUUCCAAGGUAAUGAUUAAUAGGGAUAGUUGGGGGUAUUCGUAUUCAAUUGUCAGAGGUGAAAUUCUUGGAUUUAUGGAAGACGAACUACUGCGAAAGCAUUUACCAAGGAUGUUUUCAUCA